RNAcentral lists this ribosomal RNA (392 nucleotides) under uncultured bacterium. RNAcentral's name for it is "bacterial SSU rRNA". It matches the Rfam family "Bacterial small subunit ribosomal RNA", at positions 94 to 467 of the family's 1533-position model. The record is from RNAcentral.
AGCGGCGAACGGGUGAGUAACACGUGGGCAACCGUGCCCUUCAGUCGGGAAUAACCCAUCGAAAGGUGGGCUAAUACCGGAUAAUGUCCUUUGGGGGCAUCUUCGGAGGACCAAAGGGGGCGAGCGAAAGCGGCUCCCGCUGAGGGAUGGGCCUGCGGCUGAUUAGCUAGUUGGUGGGGUAGCGGCCUACCAAGGCAACGAUCAGUAGCCGACCUGAGAGGGUGACCGGCCACACUGGGACUGAGACACGGCCCAGACUCCUACGGGAGGCAGCAGUGGGGAAUAUUGCGCAAUGGGCGAAAGCCUGACGCAGCGACGCCGCGUGGGUGAUGAAGGCCUUCGGGUCGUAAAACCCUGUCGGGUGGAACGAAUCUCCUCCUCUCUAAUACAGG